This 74-nucleotide transfer RNA is filed under the name Clostridiales bacterium. RNAcentral's name for it is "tRNA-Cys". It matches the Rfam family "tRNA". From Rfam's summary of the family: Transfer RNA (tRNA) molecules are approximately 80 nucleotides in length. Their secondary structure includes four short double-helical elements and three loops (D, anti-codon, and T loops). RNAcentral also lists the same sequence under 2 other names. Lineage: Bacteria; Bacillati; Bacillota; Clostridia; Eubacteriales. The record is from RNAcentral.
GGCGCCAUAGCCAAGUGGUAAGGCAGCGGACUGCAAAUCCGCGACCCCCAGUUCAAGUCUGGGUGGCGCCUCCA